AGCUCCAGUAGCGUAUAUUAAAGUUGUUGCAGUUAAAAAGCUCGUAGUUGGAUUUCUGGUUGUAGCGUUAGGCCCACUCGGGUUACCGACGUGAGUGCCUGGACGCUCCUUCCAUCCUUCUAGAGAACGGUUCUCUCCUUCAUUGGCAGUGGGAUCGCGAUCUAGAUCUUUUACUUUGAAAAAAUUAGAGUGUUUAAAGCAGGCUUGUGCUAUGAAUACAUUAGCAUGGAAUAAUAAUUUAGGACUUUGGUUCUAUUUUGUUGGUUUCUAGAACUGAAGUAAUGAUUGAUAGGGACAGUUGGGGGUGCUAGUAUUCAGCGGCCAGAGGUGAAAUUCUUGGAUUCGCUGAAGACUAACUUAUGCGAAAGCAUUCACCAAGGAUGUCUUCUUUAAUCAAGAA
RNAcentral lists this ribosomal RNA (400 nucleotides) under phytoplankton environmental sample. RNAcentral describes it as "partial small subunit ribosomal RNA". It matches the Rfam family "Eukaryotic small subunit ribosomal RNA", at positions 587 to 983 of the family's 1831-position model. The record is from RNAcentral.